This 396-nucleotide ribosomal RNA is filed under the name uncultured bacterium. Its description in RNAcentral is "partial 16S ribosomal RNA". It matches the Rfam family "Bacterial small subunit ribosomal RNA", at positions 361 to 774 of the family's 1533-position model. The record is from RNAcentral.
AUCUUGCGCAAUGGGCGAAAGCCUGACGCAGCCAUGCCGCGUGAAUGAUGAAGGUCUUAGGAUUGUAAAAUUCUUUCACCGGGGACGAUAAUGACGGUACCCGUAGAAGAAGCCCCGGCUAGCCUGGUGCCGGCAGCCGCGGUAAUACGAAGGGGGCUAGCAGUGCUCGGAAUUACUGGGCGUAAAGGGCGUGUAGGCGGAUCGUGAAGUCAGGGGUGAAAUCCCGGGGCUCAACCUCGGAACUGCCCUUGAUACUGGCGAUCUUGAGUAUGAGAGAGGUAUGUGGAACUCCGAGUGUAGAGGUGAAAUUCGUAGAUAUUCGGAAGAACACCAGUGGCGAAGGCGACAUACUGGCUCAUUACUGACGCUGAGGCGCGAAAGCGUGGGGAGCAAACA